GACGAACGCUGGCGGCGUGCCUAAUACAUGCAAGUCGAGCGAGCUUGCCUAGAUGAAUUUGGUGCUUGCACCAGAUGAAACUAGGUACAAGCGAGCGGCGGACGGGUGAGUAACACGUGGGUAACCUGCCCAAGAGACUGGGAUAACACCUGGAAACAGAUGCUAAUACCGGAUAACAACACUAGACGCAUGUCUAGAGUUUAAAAGAUGGUUCUGCUAUCACUCUUGGAUGGACCUGCGGUGCAUUAGCUAGUUGGUAAGGCAACGGCUUACCAAGGCAAUGAUGCUUAGCCGAGUUGAGAGACUGAUCGGCCACAUUGGGACUGAGACACGGCCCAAACUCCUACGGGAGGCAGCAGUAGGGAAUCUUCCACAAUGGACGCAAGUCUGAUGGAGCAACGCCGCGUGAGUGAAGAAGGGUUUCGGCUCGUAAAGCUCUGUUGGUAGUGAAGAAAGAUAGAGGUAGUAACUGGCCUUUAUUUGACGGUAAUUACUUAGAAAGUCACGGCUAACUACGUG
Molecule: ribosomal RNA, 519 nt
Filed under: uncultured bacterium
Lineage: Bacteria
Description: partial 16S ribosomal RNA
Rfam family: Bacterial small subunit ribosomal RNA
Source: RNAcentral